CUUCCUCAUUUUCUGUCAUCUUUCAGUCUCUCCUGUCGUUCCCUUGUGUUUCUAAGGCUGAUUGGUUAAGAAAGUCAGGGAGGGGCGGGGCCUCCUCUGG
This is a long non-coding RNA of Salarias fasciatus (jewelled blenny), 100 nucleotides long. RefSeq lists it as uncharacterized. The transcript has 3 exons. The record is from RefSeq and is a predicted model, not a curated record. Lineage: Eukaryota; Metazoa; Chordata; Actinopteri; Blenniiformes; Blenniidae.